AUGCUUCUUCAACAAUAUUCAAAAAGUAGGAAGAGGUGUGCAGCCAACAAGAAGGUGAAAGCAGCCAAGAAAACAAUCGUGUUUCAUUGACAAAUGCAUAGCAUAGCACUACUGGUUCAUUUCUAAUAAGCUCAUUCCUUCAGCCAGGGAGGAAGGGAUAUGUCAGCAUGCAAAGGCUACAACUACUCCAUGAAGAUAGGAGGUGAUGGCAUAAAACAAUUCAAAGGUAUUCCACUGAGGCAGAUAAAUUUAAAUAUGGCCACAGGCAUAAGAAGAUUUGGAACGCAUGUCCAUUAAACUCACAAAUAGCUUGCCAGAUGGAGCAAAUGGAAAAAAACUCUCUUCCUGACAACUAUAAACGUUGCACAAAGAUUAAAAUAAUGAGAUUGAGCUGCUAGAUUGACUGUAGCAGGGUUCUGAGUUCCCAGUUUUCCAUUCAUCUGUUUGUGCCAACACAUGCCUCUUUAUCACUGUCUGAGGAACUUUACAGUGAAAGGAAUUAAAAGUGGAUAACCUGGGUUAUGAAGUUAAAAUAGCUAUGUCAGUAGUAAAUAUUACAAAUUAAGAUAGGUUAGUUAGCCAUAUCUUUGCUUAUGCUGUUGUGAACUUUCACUAGACAAAAAAAUUGUGAUGCUGAAAAGCAUAUCUUGGUGGAGUAUUAUUUUAUCCAGAUAGAAAUGAUGAAAUCACAUUUAAAACAGAAAACAUUUCAUUUAAAAUUUUUCAUUUGUUCAUUCUUUAGAAAUAAG
Molecule: long non-coding RNA, 749 nt
Organism: Oxyura jamaicensis (ruddy duck)
Lineage: Eukaryota; Metazoa; Chordata; Aves; Anseriformes; Anatidae
Exons: 4
Source: RefSeq, a predicted model, not a curated record